This 107-nucleotide ribosomal RNA is filed under the name Erinaceus europaeus (western European hedgehog). The record is from RNAcentral. Lineage: Eukaryota; Metazoa; Chordata; Mammalia; Eulipotyphla; Erinaceidae.
GUCUAUGGCCAUACCACCCUGAACAUGCCCGAUCUCAUCUGAUCUCGGAAGCUAAGCAGGCUCGGGCAUGGUUAGUACUUGAUGGGAGAGAGAUGAAGCAAUGGAGA